GCCCUAAUGCAGCCGGAGGCGGUCACAAGCCCGCAAAAUGCAGAGUGGGGU
RNAcentral lists this non-coding RNA (51 nucleotides) under unclassified sequences. The record is from RNAcentral.